This 504-nucleotide ribosomal RNA is filed under the name uncultured bacterium. RNAcentral describes it as "bacterial SSU rRNA". It matches the Rfam family "Bacterial small subunit ribosomal RNA", at positions 791 to 1304 of the family's 1533-position model. The record is from RNAcentral.
UAGUCCACGCCGUAAACGAUGGAUACUAGCUGUUUGGAUUUAUCUGAGUGGCUAAGCGAAAGUGAUAAGUAUCCCACCUGGGGAGUACGUUCGCAAGAAUGAAACUCAAAGGAAUUGACGGGGGCCCGCACAAGCGGUGGAGCAUGUGGUUUAAUUCGAUGAUACGCGAGGAACCUUACCAGGGCUUAAAUGUAGUGUGAUAGGUUUAGAGAUAAAUUUUUCUUCGGACAUAUUACAAGGUGCUGCAUGGUUGUCGUCAGCUCGUGCCGUGAGGUGUCAGGUUAAGUCCUAUAACGAGCGCAACCCCUAUCGUUAGUUGCCAGCAUUUAAGAUGGGGACUCUAACGAGACUGCCGGUGUAAACCGUGAGGAAGGUGGGGAUGACGUCAAAUCAUCACGGCCCUUACGUCCUGGGCUACACACGUGCUACAAUGGUAGAUACAGAGAGCAGCCACUAUGCAAGUAGGAGCAAAUCUAUAAAGUCUAUCUCAGUUCGGAUCGUAGU